CUUCUCCAGAGCUGGCAUCCUAGGGCCCCAGGGUUUGGCGCCCGGACCCCCGCUGCUCUCCGCUUGCUGGGAACCAGAGCUGUAGGCUUGGUGGCAGCUCCGAUGCUGCGUGGGGCAGGAGAUAGUGCCCUGACUCGCGGCUUGACCUUGGCUGGGCUGGGGCACUGCCCCUCUCCGAGCGCGGGUGCAAUCUGCCCAUUGAUGAAGGAGGGGUUGGAUUGCUACCUGGGUUCUAAGCGCCCACAUGCUACGUGUCCCUGAC
This 262-nucleotide long non-coding RNA is filed under the name Homo sapiens (human). Its description in RNAcentral is "HSALNT0165510". Lineage: Eukaryota; Metazoa; Chordata; Mammalia; Primates; Hominidae. The record is from RNAcentral.